AAAAAAAAGAAUUUACAUAAUUAUUUACAAAUUAACAAAUAGUAUUAUAGAAUAAAACCAAUAUGAGAUAAAGAUAUAGAUUGUUGAUACUGCAGUGUUACAUUUUGUUUACUAGAUCUUUUAUGGUAGACAGAGAUACCAAAGAAAUCAGCGCAAUUAAUGAAGUAUUCCCAAACAGCUCUGUUUUACUUUGCUGGUUUCAUGUUUUACAGGUAUUAUAUUAUUCAAUAUAUGUAUCAUACAUUUUACCUUAUUCUUUAUGGGAAAAAAAUCAGUUAUUAAAUGAGAGUUAUUCUGUGAAGUUUCACUCUUUUGGAUCAAUAAGUAUUAAUUGCAUUGGAUUUAACAUUUUAUAUCUUUUUUUUGUGUUUAUAAGCUUGAGGUCAGUUUUGAAUUAAUAAAUAGACUCUUUCGCAUUAAUACUUUCAUAGAUCAAAUAUUAUCUUGUUGAAAAAUAAUUAGUCAUGAUAUAUUCAAGACAAUGUUUAAUUAUUAUUAUCAAGAAUCUUUAAGACAUGAACUAAAUAUAAAUGAUUUGAUUUACAGGCUGUGUACAGAUUUUUGAAUAAAAAAGAAUCUGGUGUAUCAGGACCCAUGCACGCACAUACCAGAAAAAAAGUUAUUGACUAUAUUAGAACUAUGAAAAUAUGUACCAAGAAAGAAGACUUUUCUCAAAAAGUUAAAAUGUUGCAAGAGAAGAUGCCUUCCAAACAAAUAGCAGACUACUUGUUAGACAACUGGUGUACUGACAAGUGGGGAUGUCGAUGGGCCAACUAUGGAAGACAUUUUUUUCAUGAAGAUCAAGAUACAAAUAACUUAGUUGAAAGGUUAUUAAUACAUUUUAUUACUAUACACCUUAUAUUUUACAAGAUCGAAAUUUUAAGCAUCAUCUAAUUAUCAUCUGUUUGAUAAUAGUAACUAAGUAUAUUUUAUUUUGGGGAUAAAUUUUCUGAACUGUCUCUGUUUUUAUGACCUGAUUUAUAAAAAGUAUUACACUUUGUCUAAAUCCUACUUCUUCAUGGGUAACCAAAGACAUAGCAUGAUAUAAACUUUACAAUUUUUAACUAUAUGGAGAGGAUUUUUGCCGUUCUUUCAUGAUAGGGUUAUGCAAAUUUAAUACAAAUAUCAUAAUUGUCAAUGCAAGUCGAUAAUUACAUAAAAGCAGACAAAAUGAAAAAAUGUAGUCUAGCAAAACCUGAUGUGUAUGAGGAUAUUAAAACAAAAAAAUAUAAUGCUACUUAUAACAUUCAAAUGUUAACACAUUAAUAUUUUAUGUACUUUCUAUUUGUACAUUCAAAUAUAAAUCAUAAAUUCAAAGUCCUUAACAUUUUGUCAUUUUCAGGUUUUUCCUGGGCAUGAAAUACCAUUUCCUUGGUGGGUAUGCCAAUAGCAGAGUAGAGGACUUACUACUCCUUCUCCAUGGAAAUGUAACUAUGUUUUAUGACUAUCUGGAUGAACUCGCAAAGAUUGGUCGCCUGAAAAAUAUGGGAGGACAAAGGGGAGACAAAAGUAAAUUGACAGCAGAGAAUAUGCUCAAGGCAGGACUCGACCAAAUUGUGCAAUGGACUUCAUCCACAGAAUGCACUGUUCCAUCACAGACAGCAUUUGGGACGAUUUAUAAUGUGGACAUUGUCAAUGAAGUGUGCAAUUGUCCAGCAGCAACAACAAGAGGUAUUUUUUUAGCAU
Mytilus californianus (California mussel) is the source of this 1686-nucleotide long non-coding RNA. RefSeq lists it as uncharacterized. Lineage: Eukaryota; Metazoa; Mollusca; Bivalvia; Mytilida; Mytilidae. The transcript is spliced from 3 exons. The record is from RefSeq and is a predicted model, not a curated record.